GCGGGCGUAAUUCAAUGGUAGAAUACGAGUUUUCCAAACUCGAUGCGAGGGUUCGAUUCCCUUCGCCCGCU
This 71-nucleotide transfer RNA is filed under the name Candidatus Gottesmanbacteria bacterium. RNAcentral's name for it is "tRNA-Gly". It matches the Rfam family "tRNA". From Rfam's summary of the family: Transfer RNA (tRNA) molecules are approximately 80 nucleotides in length. Lineage: Bacteria; Candidatus Gottesmaniibacteriota. The record is from RNAcentral.